AGUGAACGCUGGCGGUAGGCCUAACACAUGCAAGUCGAACGGCAGCACAGUAAGAGCUUGCUCUUACGGGUGGCGAGUGGCGGACGGGUGAGGAAUACAUCGGAAUCUACUUUUUCGUGGGGGAUAACGUAGGGAAACUUACGCUAAUACCGCAUACGACCUACGGGUGAAAGCAGGGGAUCUUCGGACCUUGCGCGAUUGAAUGAGCCGAUGUCGGAUUAGCUAGUGGGCGGGGUAAAGGCCCACCAAGGCGACGAUCCGUAGCUGGUCUGAGAGGAUGAUCAGCCACACUGGAACUGAGACACGGUCCAGAGUCCUACGGGAGGCAGCAGUGGGGAAUAUUGGACAAUGGGCGCAAGCCUGAUCCAGCCAUACCGCGUGGGUGAAGAAGGCCUUCGGGUUGUAAAGCCCUUUUGUUGGGAAAGAAAAGCAGCAGGUUAAUACCCCGCUGUUCUGACGGUACCCAAAGAAUAAGCACCGGCUAACUUCGUG
Molecule: ribosomal RNA, 492 nt
Filed under: uncultured bacterium
Lineage: Bacteria
Description: partial 16S ribosomal RNA
Rfam family: Bacterial small subunit ribosomal RNA
Source: RNAcentral